Molecule: ribosomal RNA, 515 nt
Filed under: uncultured archaeon
Lineage: Archaea
Description: bacterial SSU rRNA
Rfam family: Archaeal small subunit ribosomal RNA
Source: RNAcentral
AAAACACGUACCAGCUCCGCGAGUGGUCGGGACGAUUAUUGGGCCUAAAGCGUCCGUAGCCGGCCUAGCAAGUCUCUGGUUAAACUUCAAGGCUUAACCUUGAGAUUGCUGGAGAUACUGCUAGGCUAGGGGGCGGGAGAGGUUGAGGGUACUUCACGGGUAGGGGCGAAAUCCUAUAAUCCGUGAAGGACCACCAGUGGCGAAGGCGCUCAACUGGAACGCGCCCGACGGUGAGGGACGAAAGCCAGGGGAGCAAAGGGGAUUAGAUACCCCCGUAGUCCUGGCUGUAAACGAGGCGGGCUAGGUGUUGGGUUGGCUUCGUGCCAACCCGGUGCCGCAGUGAAGGCGAUAAGCCCGCCGCCUGGGAAGUACGGCUGCAAGGCUGAAACUUAAAGGAAUUGGCGGGGGAGCACCACAAGGGGUGAAGCCUGCGGCUUAAUUGGAGUCAACGCCGGGAAUCUUACCGGGAGCGACAGUAGUAUGAAGGCCAAGCUGACGACUUUGCUAGACAGACU